RNAcentral lists this non-coding RNA (90 nucleotides) under Hemiselmis tepida. Lineage: Eukaryota; Cryptophyceae; Cryptomonadales; Hemiselmidaceae. The record is from RNAcentral.
UCUUAAAAAAAAAAAAAAAAAUUUAGGUUUUAGGUUUUACAAAAUUGACAAAAAAAAAAUUUUAGGUUUUUUUUAUGUCUCACAAUUUUU